Molecule: ribosomal RNA, 1344 nt
Filed under: uncultured bacterium
Lineage: Bacteria
Description: 16S ribosomal RNA
Rfam family: Bacterial small subunit ribosomal RNA
Source: RNAcentral
GACGAACGCUGGCGGCGUGCUUAACACAUGCAAGUCGAACGGAAAGGCCCUGCUUUUGUGGGGUGCUCGAGUGGCGAACGGGUGAGUAACACGUGAGUAACCUGCCCUUGACUUUGGGAUAACUUCAGGAAACUGGGGCUAAUACCGGAUAGGAGCUCCUGCUGCAUGGUGGGGGUUGGAAAGUUUCGGCGGUUGGGGAUGGACUCGCGGCUUAUCAGCUUGUUGGUGGGGUAGUGGCUUACCAAGGCUUUGACGGGUAGCCGGCCUGAGAGGGUGACCGGCCACAUUGGGACUGAGAUACGGCCCAGACUCCUACGGGAGGCAGCAGUGGGGAAUAUUGCACAAUGGGCGGAAGCCUGAUGCAGCAACGCCGCGUGCGGGAUGACGGCCUUCGGGUUGUAAACCGCUUUCGCCUGUGACGAAGCGUGAGUGACGGUAAUGGGUAAAGAAGCACCGGCUAACUACGUGCCAGCAGCCGCGGUGAUACGUAGGGUGCGAGCGUUGUCCGGAUUUAUUGGGCGUAAAGGGCUCGUAGGUGGUUGAUCGCGUCGGAAGUGUAAUCUUGGGGCUUAACCCUGAGCGUGCUUUCGAUACGGGUUGACUUGAGGAAGGUAGGGGAGAAUGGAAUCCCUGGUGGGAGCGGUGGAAUGCGCAGAUAUCAGGAGGAACACCAGUGGCGAAGGCGGUUCUCUGGGCCUUUCCUGACGCUGAGGAGCGAAAGCGUGGGGAGCGAACAGGCUUAGAUACCCUGGUAGUCCACGCUGUAAACGGCGGGUACUAGGUGUGGGGUCCAUUCCACGGGUUCCGUGCCGUAGCUAACGCUUUAAGUACCCCGCCUGGGGAGUACGGCCGCAAGGCUAAAACUCAAAGGAAUUGACGGGGCCCCGCACAAGCGGCGGAGCAUGCGGAUUAAUUCGAUGCAACGCGUAGAACCUUACCUGGGUUUGACAUGGAUCGGGAGCGCUCAGAGAUGGGUGUGCCUCUUUUGGGGUCGGUUCACAGGUGGUGCAUGGCUGUCGUCAGCUCGUGUCGUGAGAUGUUGGGUUAAGUCCCGCAACGAGCGCAACCCUUGUUCACUGUUGCCAGCACGUUAUGGUGGGGACUCAGUGGAGACCGCCGGGGUCAACUCGGAGGAAGGUGGGGAUGACGUCAAGUCAUCAUGCCCCUUAUGUCCAGGGCUUCACGCAUGCUACAAUGGCUGGUACAGAGAGUGGCGAGCCUGUGAGGGUGAGCGAAUCUCGGAAAGCCGGUCUCAGUUCGGAUUGGGGUCUGCAACUCGACCUCAUGAAGUCGGAGUCGCUAGUAAUCGCAGAUCAGCAACGCUGCGGUGAAUACGUUCCCGGG